GACGAACGCUGGCGGCGUGCUUAACACAUGCAAGUCGAACGGAAAGGCCCUGCUUUUGUGGGGUGCUCGAGUGGCGAACGGGUGAGUAACACGUGAGUAACCUGCCCUUGACUUUGGGAUAACUUCAGGAAACUGGGGCUAAUACCGGAUAGGAGCUCCUGCUGCAUGGUGGGGGUUGGAAAGUUUCGGCGGUUGGGGAUGGACUCGCGGCUUAUCAGCUUGUUGGUGGGGUAGUGGCUUACCAAGGCUUUGACGGGUAGCCGGCCUGAGAGGGUGACCGGCCAAAUUGGGAAUGAGAGACGGCCAAGAGUCGUAAGGGAGGCGGAAGUGGGGAAUAUUGAAAAGUGGGCGGAAGCCUGAUGCAGCAACGCCGCGGGCGGGAUGAAGGCCGUCGGGUUGUAAACCGCUUGCGCCUGUAACGAAGCGUGAGGGACGGGAAUGGGUAAAGAAGCACAGGAAAACUACGUG
This 468-nucleotide ribosomal RNA is filed under the name uncultured bacterium. Its description in RNAcentral is "partial 16S ribosomal RNA". It matches the Rfam family "Bacterial small subunit ribosomal RNA", at positions 28 to 507 of the family's 1533-position model. The record is from RNAcentral.